AGGGGUAUGCAUUGUAACGGUAGCAUGCCGGUCUCCAAAACCGUGCGGUCUGGGUUCGAAUCCUAGUACCCCUGCCA
RNAcentral lists this transfer RNA (77 nucleotides) under uncultured bacterium. RNAcentral describes it as "tRNA-Trp". It matches the Rfam family "tRNA". Rfam says of the family: Transfer RNA (tRNA) molecules are approximately 80 nucleotides in length. Their secondary structure includes four short double-helical elements and three loops (D, anti-codon, and T loops). Further hydrogen bonds mediate the characteristic L-shaped molecular structure. tRNAs have two regions of fundamental functional importance: the anti-codon, which is responsible for specific mRNA codon recognition, and the 3' end, to which the tRNAs corresponding amino acid is attached (by aminoacyl-tRNA synthetases). tRNAs cope with the degeneracy of the genetic code in two manners: having more than one tRNA (with a specific anti-codon) for a particular amino acid; and 'wobble' base-pairing, i.e. permitting non-standard base-pairing at the 3rd anti-codon position. The record is from RNAcentral.